Molecule: long non-coding RNA, 400 nt
Filed under: Helianthus annuus (common sunflower)
Lineage: Eukaryota; Viridiplantae; Streptophyta; Magnoliopsida; Asterales; Asteraceae
Source: RNAcentral
GGUUGCGAUCAUACCAGCACAAAUGCACCGGAUCCCAUCAGAACUCCGCAGUUAAGCGUGCUUGGGCGAGAGUAGUACUAGGAUGGGUGACCCCUGGGAAGUCCUCGUGUUGCAACCCCCUUUUUUUUCGUUUUUGGUUUAUUUUAUUUACUAGUCGCUGUAUCUUUGGCGUAGCAUGCGAGCGGCCCGAGGCGCGUGACGUAGGCCACACAUGAGGGCAUAGGUGCGAAUGGGAUCAAGGCGUGGAAAGGUAUAAAGGAAUAAGGAGAAGGUAUUCUUUCGGUUGCGAUCAUACCAGCACUAAUGCACCGGAUCCCAUCAGAACUCCGCAGUUAAGCGUGCUUGGGCGAGAGUAGUACUAGGAUGGGUGACCCCCUGGGAAGUCCUCGUGUUGCAACCC